UGGGGAAUCUUGGACAAUGGGGGCAACCCUGAUCCAGCCAUGCCGCGUGAGUGAUGAAGGCCUUAGGGUCGUAAAGCUCUUUCGCCUGUGAAGAUAAUGACGGUAGCAGGUAAAGAAACCCCGGCUAACUCCGUGCCAGCAGCCGCGGUAAUACGGAGGGGGUUAGCGUUGUUCGGAAUUACUGGGCGUAAAGCGCACGUAGGCGGACCAGAAAGUUGGGGGUGAAAUCCCGGGGGCUCAACCCCGGAACUGCCUCCAAAACUAUUGGUCUAGAGUUCGAGAGAGGUGAGUGGAAUUCCAAGUGUAGAGGUGAAAUUCGUAGAUAUUUGGAGGAACACCAGUGGCGAAGGCGGCUCACUGGCUCGAUACUGACGCUGAGGUGCGAAAGCGUGGGGAGCAAAGCAGGAUU
This 409-nucleotide ribosomal RNA is filed under the name uncultured bacterium. Its description in RNAcentral is "bacterial SSU rRNA". It matches the Rfam family "Bacterial small subunit ribosomal RNA", at positions 355 to 779 of the family's 1533-position model. The record is from RNAcentral.